AUCGAUCCACGACCGCGAAAGCGAUCGAAGUGGAAAUCCUGCAACGCAACAUGAUUGGAAUGAAGAAAUCGGAAUAUACGAAAAGAUUGAAAUGUUGCGUUGCAGAUUGAAACGGAGAGCGCGGUCCAGC
Small RNA from Leptospira borgpetersenii str. 200701203, 130 nucleotides. It matches the Rfam family "Flavo-1 RNA". Lineage: Bacteria; Pseudomonadati; Spirochaetota; Leptospiria; Leptospirales; Leptospiraceae. The record is from Rfam.